This 194-nucleotide ribosomal RNA is filed under the name uncultured bacterium. Its description in RNAcentral is "partial 16S ribosomal RNA". It matches the Rfam family "Bacterial small subunit ribosomal RNA", at positions 1307 to 1500 of the family's 1533-position model. The record is from RNAcentral.
GCAACUCGCCUACAUGAAGUCGGAAUCGCUAGUAAUCGCGGAUCAGCAUGCCGCGGUGAAUACGUUCCCGGGCCUUGUACACACCGCCCGUCACACCAUGAGAGUUUGUAACACCCAAAGCCGGUGGGGUAACCUUUUGGAGCCAGCCGUCUAAGGUGGGACAGAUGAUUGGGGUGAAGUCGUAACAAGGUAUC